GGCCUCUGCGCUAACCACUCACUCUGGGAACCAAGGGAGGGCGUCAGAGGGGUAUGUACUUCACGCUCCCUGUGGCCAGGUCUGCCCAGGAAUUUGGCUUCUUUGGCCUAGGAGCUGCAGAAGGCAGUU
Molecule: small nucleolar RNA, 129 nt
Filed under: Echinops telfairi (small Madagascar hedgehog)
Lineage: Eukaryota; Metazoa; Chordata; Mammalia; Afrosoricida; Tenrecidae
Description: Small nucleolar RNA SNORA13 (ENSETEG00000025879.1)
Source: RNAcentral